This 253-nucleotide ribosomal RNA is filed under the name uncultured bacterium. Its description in RNAcentral is "partial 16S ribosomal RNA". It matches the Rfam family "Bacterial small subunit ribosomal RNA", at positions 524 to 776 of the family's 1533-position model. The record is from RNAcentral.
UACAGGGGGUGCAAACGUUGCUCGGAAUCAUUGGGCGUAAAGCGCACGUAGGCGGUUCGUUAUGUCGGAUGUGAAAGCCCUUGGCUUAACCGAGGAAGUGCAUCCGAAACUGGCGAGCUAGAGUACGAAAGAGGAUCGCGGAAUUCCCGGUGUAGAGGUGAAAUUCGUAGAUAUCGGGAGGAACACCGGUGGCGAAGGCGGGUCUCUGGGCAGUAACUGACGCUGAGGAGCGAAAGCGUGGGGAGCGAACAGG